CCCUUAGAUGUUCUGGGCCGCACGCGCGUUACACUGAUGCAUUCAACAAGUUUGUUUUUGUUCCUUGGCCGAGAGGCCUGGGUAAUCUUGUAAUGUGCAUCGUGAUAGGGAUAGAUUAUUGCAAUUAUUAAUCUUGAACGAGGAAUUCCUAGUAAACGCAGAUCAUCAAUCUGCAUUGAUUACGUCCCUGCCCUUUGUACACACCGCCCGUCGCACCUACCGAUUGAAUGGUCCGGUGAAGCCUCGGGAUUGUGGCUGGUUCCCUUUAUUGGGGAUUGGUCGCGAGAACUUGUCUAAACCUUAUCAUUUAGAGGAAGGUGAAGUCGUAACA
Molecule: ribosomal RNA, 331 nt
Filed under: uncultured eukaryote
Lineage: Eukaryota
Description: partial 18S ribosomal RNA
Rfam family: Eukaryotic small subunit ribosomal RNA
Source: RNAcentral